GAUGAACGCUGGCGGCGUGCCUAAUACAUGCAAGUCGAGCGAACAGACGAGGAGCUUGCUCCUCUGACGUUAGCGGCGGACGGGUGAGUAACACGUGGAUAACCUACCUAUAAGACUGGGAUAACUUCGGGAAACCGGAGCUAAUACCGGAUAAUAUAUUGAACCGCAUGGUUCAAUAGUGAAAGACGGUUUUGCUGUCACUUAUAGAUGGAUCCGCGCCGCAUUAGCUAGUUGGUAAGGUAACGGCUUACCAAGGCGACGAUGCGUAGCCGACCUGAGAGGGUGAUCGGCCACACUGAAACUGAGACACGGUCCAGACUCCUACGGGAGGCAGCAGUAGGGAAUCUUCCGCAAUGGGCGAAAGCCUGACGGAGCAACGCCGCGUGAGUGAUGAAGGUCUUCGGAUCGUAAAACUCUGUUAUUAGGGAAGAACAAAUGUGUAAGUAACUAUGCACGUCUUGACGGUACCUAAGCAGAAAGCCACGGCUAACUACGG
RNAcentral lists this ribosomal RNA (496 nucleotides) under uncultured bacterium. RNAcentral's name for it is "partial 16S ribosomal RNA". It matches the Rfam family "Bacterial small subunit ribosomal RNA", at positions 28 to 506 of the family's 1533-position model. The record is from RNAcentral.